GGACCUGUGGCGCAGCGGUAGCGCGUGAGAUUCCAGUCCUCAAGGUCAUCCGUUCAAUCCGGGUCGGGUUCA
Sparassis crispa is the source of this 72-nucleotide non-coding RNA. The record is from the annotation of a RefSeq genome assembly. NCBI's taxonomy places the organism in Eukaryota, Fungi, Basidiomycota, Agaricomycetes, Polyporales, Sparassidaceae.